RNAcentral lists this unclassified non-coding RNA (616 nucleotides) under uncultured Bradyrhizobium sp. RNAcentral describes it as "partial 16S-23S ribosomal RNA intergenic spacer". The stretch from base 483 to 616 matches the Rfam family "Bacterial large subunit ribosomal RNA", at positions 1 to 132 of the family's 2925-position model. Lineage: Bacteria; Pseudomonadati; Pseudomonadota; Alphaproteobacteria; Hyphomicrobiales; Nitrobacteraceae. The record is from RNAcentral.
GAGUGAGCAUUCGUCUUCUGGUUACGGGGCCAUAGCUCAGCUGGGAGAGCGCGUGCUUUGCAAGCAUGAGGUCGUCGGUUCGAUCCCGUCUGGCUCCACCAGAUGGUUUGAUCACCGAGAUCUUGACCGUCGUCCGCGAAACAUCACUUCGCAUCCUGCUAGUCUGGAUAGACAGCAGUUUGCGUGUUUUCUGACAUCGUAAAGAGGAGAUCGAUCCGAGUUGGGUCGUGCAGCAUAUCGUUGCGCGAGCCUUCAUUAUCUCCGGAUCAUUUCGGCGCUCGCUUCCAGCCGUGAGGUUGGAUGCGGGUUGUAAAUGAUCCUUUUAGCGAAGCUUGACCGCCUCGCUAUCGGAACGAUCUUACGAAGCAAGCUGGUCUUUCUAGUCAAUGUCCGGCUGCGGAUAGCGUUCAUCGAGGGCGCGUGCCGCAAGGCAAUUCUGCAGACAACAUUCUGCCGAGUGUGUGGACAUUGAUAAUGAGAGCAAUCAAGUGCCUUAAGGGUGUUCGGUGGAUGCCUUGGCGCUGAGAGGCGAUGAAGGACGUGCUACGCUGCGAUAAGCCGUGGGGAGCUGCGAAGAAGCUUUGAUCCGCGGAUUUCCGAAUGGGGAAAACCCGGA